AGAGUUUGAUCCUGGCUCAGGACGAACGCUGGCGGCGUGCUUAACACAUGCAAGUCGAACGGAAAGGCCCUUUCGGGGGUACUCGAGUGGCGAACGGGUGAGUAACACGUGGGUGAUCUGCCCUGCACUUUGGGAUAAGCCUGGGAAACUGGGUCUAAUACCGAAUACACCCUGCUGGUCGCAUGGCCUGGUGGGGGAAAGCUUUUGCGGUGUGGGAUGGGCCCGCGGCCUAUCAGCUUGUUGGUGGGGUGAUGGCCUACCAAGGCGACGACGGGUAGCCGGCCUGAGAGGGUGUCCGGCCACACUGGGACUGAGAUACGGCCCAGACUCCUACGGGAGGCAGCAGUGGGGAAUAUUGCACAAUGGGCGCAAGCCUGAUGCAGCGACGCCGCGUGGGGGAUGACGGCCUUCGGGUUGUAAACCUCUUUCACCAUCGGCGAAGCCCAUAGCUUUUGUUGUGGGUGACGGUAGGUGGAGAAGAAGCACCGGCCAACUACGUGCCAGCAGCCGCGGUAAUACGUAGGGUGCGAGCGUUGUCCGGAAUUACUGGGCGUAAAGAGCUCGUAGGUGGUUUGUCGCGUUGUCCGUGAAAUUCCCUGGCUUAACUGGGGGCGUGCGGGCGAUACGGGCAGACUAGAGUACUGCAGGGGAGACUGGAAUUCCUGGUGUAGCGGUGGAAUGCGCAGAUAUCAGGAGGAACACCGGUGGCGAAGGCGGGUCUCUGGGCAGUAACUGACGCUGAGGAGCGAAAGCGUGGGGAGCGAACAGGAUUAGAUACCCUGGUAGUCG
Molecule: ribosomal RNA, 789 nt
Filed under: uncultured bacterium
Lineage: Bacteria
Description: bacterial SSU rRNA
Rfam family: Bacterial small subunit ribosomal RNA
Source: RNAcentral